This is a non-coding RNA of Vicia faba (fava bean), 207 nucleotides long. The record is from the annotation of a GenBank genome assembly. Lineage: Eukaryota; Viridiplantae; Streptophyta; Magnoliopsida; Fabales; Fabaceae.
AUGCCAUGCUUCUUCCCUUUAUCAAUGGCAUGUGUCCCUAGUACAAACCAAAUAUCAAAGUGUCAUGAGAAUGUUGAGUUAAGAAAUAGGCAAGAUACAAAAAAUAUAGCUCAAGUUCUAUUGCUUAACUUCACAGAUGCAAGGAAUAUGCAAGUUUUCUAUACCAUUAUAUAUCAUCACAUGAUACAUGAAAAGAAGCAAUGGUGA